UUCGUAGGUGAACCUGCGGAAGGAUCA
RNAcentral lists this ribosomal RNA (27 nucleotides) under Morchella esculenta. RNAcentral's name for it is "partial 18S ribosomal RNA". The record is from RNAcentral. RNAcentral also lists the same sequence under 1 other name. Lineage: Eukaryota; Fungi; Ascomycota; Pezizomycetes; Pezizales; Morchellaceae.